Molecule: ribosomal RNA, 460 nt
Filed under: uncultured bacterium
Lineage: Bacteria
Description: partial 16S ribosomal RNA
Rfam family: Bacterial small subunit ribosomal RNA
Source: RNAcentral
CCUACGGGAGGCAGCAGUGAGGAAUAUUGGUCAAUGGGCGCGAGCCUGAACCAGCCAAGUAGCGUGAAGGAUGACUGCCCUACGGGUUGUAAACUUCUUUUAUAAAGGAAUAAAAUGUUCCAAGUGUGGGUUUUGGUAUUGACCAUAUGAAUAAGGAUCGGCUACCUCCGUGCAAGCAGCCGCGGUAAUACGGAGGUUCCGAGCGUUAUCCGGAUUUAGUGGGUUUAAAGGGAGCGUAGGUGAAUUGUUAAGUCAGUGGUGAAAGUUUGCGGCUCAACCGUAAAAUUGCAGUUGAAACUGGCAGUCUUGAGUACAGUAGAGGUGGGCGGAAUUCGUGGUGUAGCGGUGAAAUGCUUAGAUAUCACGAAGAACUCCGAUUGCGAAGGCAGUUCACUGGACUGCAACUGACACUGAGGCUCGAAAGUGUGGGUAUCAAACAGGAUUAGAUACCCCUGUAGUC